RNAcentral lists this ribosomal RNA (253 nucleotides) under uncultured bacterium. RNAcentral's name for it is "partial 16S ribosomal RNA". It matches the Rfam family "Bacterial small subunit ribosomal RNA", at positions 524 to 776 of the family's 1533-position model. The record is from RNAcentral.
UACAGAGGGGGCAAGCGUUGUUCGGAAUUACUGGGCGUAAAGGGCGCGUAGGCGGCCUGCUAAGUCGAACGUGAAAUCCCCGGGCUCAACCCGGGAACUGCGUCCGAUACUGGCAGGCUUGAAUCCGGGAGAGGGAUGCGGAAUUCCAGGUGUAGCGGUGAAAUGCGUAGAGAUCGGGAAGAACGCCGGCGGCGAAAGCGACUCUCUGGUCGGAAUCUGACGCUGAGGUGCGAAAGCUAGGGGAGCAAACGGG